AGCGCGUCCGCGUCGUCAUGGCGACGGGCGGAGCGGGCGCUGGCUCCCGCGAAUCCGGCCCGGGAACCAGCUCCACUGUGAGCCGCCUGGGACCUGGGGCGCGGGGUGGCUCCCUUGGCCGCCGCCGAGCUGCUGAGGCAGCCUGAGCUCCAGGAAAUGACCCUUGGCUCUAAAAAGAGGACCCCAUUUUUCAUGAUAAAAUGGCACCAGUGAAAACCCCCAGCAGAAAACCAAAGAAUGCUGAGGAACCGUUUAAUAACGUCUCGCCCGUCCUUUUGAAGAGUCUAGUGGAGGAGCCCAAGGGAAGAACAGAAGUACCUAAUCACCUCUUAGAAUCGAAGAUUUAUGCAAAGCUUCUGAAUAAUAAGGUCAUCCAGGCAAAACCUGGCAUCCUGCACUUUGGAGGCUAUCAAGUAGGAAAACAACACCAACAGGCUCUGCAUCUGGUCAACGUCUCGAAUGAAGACAUAGAUGUUCAUAUCUUACCCCCACAAACCAAAUACUUUCAGAUCAAGUAUGUGAAAAAGGAACACCGCCUUGUCCCUGGCUUGUCCCUCACGGUCACCGUUACGUUUUCUCCAGACAAGUGGCGCUACUAUUAUGAUUGCAUCCGUGUUCACUGUAAGGGAGACGAGACUUUGCUUGUUCCCAUCCAUGCCUAUCUUGUCAUGAACACACUGGACUUUCCCUCAUUUAUAAAUCUAUCAAAUGUUCUCCUUGGUGAAAGCAAAAAUUAUGUUAUUCCUUUGCAGUGCAGUAGCCCUGUAGAUUUCGAGUUUCAUAUCACUUUGGUUCAGUCUCAUCAAGCCUUUACUAUCGAGCCAACAUCAGGAAUAAUUCCAGCUAAUGGGAGGAUGAACGUGACUGUGAAGUUUACACCCUUUCAGUAUGGCACUGCACAAAUGAAAAUGCACUUAUGGAUUUCACAGUUCAACUCUCAACCCUACGAAUGUGUCUUCACGGGGACAUGCUGUCCCAACAUGGCUCUGAAAUUAGAAGAAUUCAAAAGGCUGAAUGCUCUUUCUAAGAAAGUAGACAUCCCUCCAGAAAAGGCAAUGACACGUAUAAACUUUCACCGACGGCCAGCCCGGACGAAGCCUCCAAAGCAUAAGGAAAUUGAAUAUCAGAACUUGAGAUUUCCAGUAGACUUAUCAAAUCCAUUUGCUGUGGCAACCGUUUUAAACCAAGAACCAGGAAAAUUGAAGAUUAAAGAAUUGAGAGAAGUUUUGGACCAAGGCAAUGAGAUUUCAAGGGCAAGACAGAUGAAGGAAGCACUCUUUGAACAGAAAGUCAGACGGGACACUUAUGAAGAGAUCAAAAAUCACCUUAAGUGGCAAGUGAACCUUGGUAAAGAUCAAAUGUCUUUUAAAUUUAAAACAGACCUUACUGAAGAGCGGCAAAGAGUAAACACCAAAUAUAAGCUGGAUAGAGGAGAUCCUGUUUUGGAUGAGGAAUUUCAGCGACUCAAGACAGAAGUUAACCACACACGCGUUGUUCGCAAUCUGGAAGAAAAAAUCGAGGAAUUUCAUCCCAGUUUUGAUCCACUCACGAAUAAUACUUGGGUCAACAGGUUCAGGGCGCAACGACGGUUUCAACAAGCAGCCCGCAAGAUCAUGGUUCAUCAACGACUACUCAGUAUGCUGAGUGCUUUUCAUGACAUGGACAAAGGGACCAUCCUCAGAAGGCUCACUAAAGGACGACAGUCAAUAGCACCAGACAAGAGUCCCUCCAGAUUUCUGCCGCUGAUCGGUCACGACGAUUAUUCCAGGCGGUUUUCGGUGUCGCCCAAGGAAGUCCUGCCCUUCGCCUUCCCGUCCCACAGUGCUCCUCAGGACUCCAACGAGUUGGCUCCCGACGGCCUUGGCCCGGUCCCAAUCAAAUCUUCAGAAAUUCCAAUCAAGCAGAGUUAUUCCUUCCUCAAGCUGCAGGUUCCUGAGCUGUACAAAAUCAAGGGGUAUCAGCCAUUCUGUGUCCAGAAGUCUUCCACAAGUUACAGACCUCAAAAGCUUGCUCGAGCCCUGAAGCAAGGAGCUGAGGAUGAAGCCACCACCAUCAUAGCCCUGCCGAACCAGGAGGCCGCACCUCAGCUGGCCGGCAAGACCUCGGUCCUGAGCAUGAAACCCCCAGAGGCCUUAGCCAGCUCUCCAGACUACGACCCGCUUUAUAUUUUUAAUCCCAGUCCAGGAGUAUUUGCUGUGAAGCACCCUCUGACCUACGCAGAAACCUUGACAGAUUACCACCUGUGUUCUCACCCCAAGUACAAGGUCACCAAGGAGUCCCACGAUGGGUCCAGCAUUCCUCUCACCCAAAGGCAGUUUCUCCAUCACACGGACAUAAUUCCUGGAAUAAUGCACUGGAAGAGGUUCCAGCCCCUGGUUUUCUCAUCCCUGCCUGAAACCUCUAAGGUAGAGACCACACAAAGCUGCGACCCCUUCGAGGUGGCCCUGCUGCCCGCGCACGUGCCCGCCACGCUGGACGCCCUGCCCGAGGAGGACAGACUGGAAGCCGCCGAACGUGAGCUCUGUGAACAGAAUAUAGAAAUUACAUUGACUCCAGAAAUGAUCGAAGCGGAAUUCCCCCUGUUGGACUCCAAGGACACCAAGAAGCAGAAAGUGCUGUUUACCUCCACCACCACCAGAAAACAUGCUGGAUUAGCAGAGAGGCUAACAGAAGAGACAGGAACUUGGUUACUACCCACAUCGGCUGUUCACAUUAUGACCCACAAGUAGGAGGACCACCAAUGAGCAGUCAGAUAAGGUUCUGACGUUGCUCCCAGCGGCAGCUGGAGGCCACGCUCAGCAUCCAUCCCCAGGUCUGGACCAACCAGCUGGCCCACUGAUGUCCUGUGCUGGUCACUGGAGAGGAAAGAUGUCCCAGCCUUGAGGUCUGGACUCAGCCUCUGCAGAGGACACUCAUCCGGAGUCCCAGGCUGCAGAGCCACAGCCCUCAGGGUCCCACGGGAGUCGGGUCCUCCCUGCCGGUGCCUCCUCCUAACAGCAGAGCCACAGCUCUUUCUGUCUCCACUCCUGUUCCACCCCUUCUGGAUCCCGCACCCGAGGCCGUCCCUGCCAGCCCCUGCCAGCCAGACGAACGUCAGGAGCCAUCUGCUGCCUGAGCCAGCGCAGCUGCCAGGAACGUGCUCGCGUCCAUGUCCGGGAGAAGCAAGGCGUCAGCCCGUCUGGGCCAGGACCGGGCGCUGCCCUGCUCACAGCUUCCCCCGGAGGUGACGUGUGCCCUGAAGUUCCAGAGUCUCGCCGUUCGGGAGAGCCCACGUUUAGGUGACUGUUCUUCAAAUACCCACUUCUAAGGGAAGAGGCCUCAGCCAUUCCUGACACAGAGAUCUCCACAGGGACCACGUGUCCCACCCACAUGAGCUCUGCCCAGCAGCUGGAGCCACAGAGGACACACACAGCCCCCACAUAUACCUACUUUCCACAUGCACACCAUAAUACACUACACACCACACACACACUCCACACCUCAGGUGGCAUUUAGAGUCCCAGCCCCAGCGCACUCUCCCUUGGACAGUGGAACCAGAGGGGCAGGAAGGGUGGUCCUCCACGGUGGGGCCCGAGGAAGCCUCGAGGCCCUCAGAGGUGAGCGGAGUUCAUGGUAGGAGCACCUUGUGCUCUUUGCCACUUGUGUAAAUGUUGCUGUACACCAGGUUCUGUCCCCACUGACUGUACCCCCUUGGAGGGAGGCGUGGCCCCGUGACCGGCUCUGGCCAGUGGAUUUGACGGGUGAGAGGGACCACUUCCCCGUGAAAGCAUCCGAGAACCAGUGUCUCCAUCUUCCCUUUCCCUGUGGCCUCCAGAGGUUGGGUCCCCAAGUGAGGCUGGCAUGGAGCGGAGACUGCCAGCCCGUGACAGACAGGGAGUGAGAGUGACAGCCUUUGUGGGUGUAGGCACAGAUUUGGGGCUGUUUGUCACCACCGCAUCGUUCACACCCUCCUGCUGCCGGGCGCAGUGAAGAGCCACACCUCACAAGGGCUGGACUCUCCCCUGAGACGAGUCGUGGGAUUUGGGCACAAAACUGGCAGCGCAUCACGGAGGCUCGUGACCGGGAGGUGAGAACUUGCUAGCUGGCAGCGGUCUUGUGGCCUCUCAAUGCCCAGCCCUCCCGGCUGGUGUCCACAGAGGCCACAGAGCCUUUCUGAGAAACAGGCAUCAGGAUUUGACCAUGCAACAUGGAGCCACCGGAAACGCCGUGUCCGUGGGUGUGUGCGAGUGUCUUUGUGUCUUCCUUCUCUUUUCCAUUGAAAGAGCAUAAGCUCAGGUUGGUGAUGGCCCUGGAAUGGGAACAGAAUGGGACUGGGAAACUUGUUUCUUAAUUUUCUGUCCCCACCCCCUUCACACCAGUGUCUCAAAAGCUGAAGGCAACACCCGAGGUAAGAACUGUUUUCAUCCUUGGUUACAAGCCCCUGUUCCCAUGGCAGCCCAGCAUGCUCUGCGUGCACUUGCACACCAUCCUGUCUGGUUCCCUGUCGGUCUCUCCCACCCAGGCUGCCAACGUCU
Molecule: non-coding RNA, 4514 nt
Organism: Equus caballus (horse)
Lineage: Eukaryota; Metazoa; Chordata; Mammalia; Perissodactyla; Equidae
Source: RefSeq, a predicted model, not a curated record